This is a non-coding RNA of Podarcis lilfordi (Lilford's wall lizard), 74 nucleotides long. NCBI's taxonomy places the organism in Eukaryota, Metazoa, Chordata, Lepidosauria, Squamata, Lacertidae. The record is from the annotation of a GenBank genome assembly.
GCCUGGAUAGCUUAGCUAGUUAGAGUGCGGUGCUAAUAACACCAAGGUCGCAGGUUCGAUCCCCAUUUGGGACA